GACGUAGGGCGCGAGCGUUGUCCGGAUUUAUUGGGCGUAAAGAGCUCGUAGGCGGCUCAUUGCGUCAAUCGUGAAAUCCUGUGGCUCAACUACAGGCUUGCGGUUGAUACGGGUGGGCUGGAGUUCGGUAGGGGAGACUGGAAUCCCUGGUGUAGCGGUGAAAUGCGCAGAUAUCAGGAGGAACACCGGUGGCGAAGGCGGGUCUCUGGGCCGAUACUGACGCUGAGGAGCGAAAGCGUGGGGAGCAAACAGG
This 253-nucleotide ribosomal RNA is filed under the name uncultured bacterium. RNAcentral describes it as "partial 16S ribosomal RNA". It matches the Rfam family "Bacterial small subunit ribosomal RNA", at positions 524 to 776 of the family's 1533-position model. The record is from RNAcentral.